CCAGCAGCCCCCGUUAAUACGGAGGGUGCCAAGCGUUUAUCGGGAAUUACUGGGAGUAAAGCGCACCGCGGGCCGUUUUUUCAAGUUCGGAUGUGAAAUCCCCCGGGCUCAACCUGGGAAGUUCAUUUGAAACUGGCAGGCUAGAGUCUUGUAGAGGGGGGGUAGAAUUUCCAGGUGUAGCGGUGAAAAUGCGUAGAGAUAUGGAGGAAUACCGGUGGCGAAGGCGGCCUCUCUGGACAAAGACUGACGCUCAGGUGCGAAAGCGUGGGGAGCAAACAGGAUUAGAUACCCUGGUAGUUCACGCUGUAAACGAUGUCGAUUAGGAGGUUGUGCCCUUGAGGCGUGGCUUCCGGAGCUAACGCGUUAAAUCGUCCGCCUGGGGAGUACGGCCGCAAGGUUAAAACUCAAAUGAAUUGACGGGGGCCCGCACAAGCGGUGGAGCAUGUGGUUUAAUUUGAUGCAACGCGAAGAACCUUACCUGGUCUUGACAUCCACAGAACUUUCCAGAGGGGAUUGGUGCCUUCGGGAACUGUGAGACAGGUGCUGCAUGGCUGUCGUCAGCUCGUGUUGUGAAAUGUUGGGUUAAGUCCCGCAACGAGCGCAACCCUUAUCCUUUGUUGCCAGCGGUUAGGCCGGGAACUCAAAGGAGACUGCCAGUGAUAAACUGGAGGAAGGUGGGGAUGACGUCAAGUCAUCAUGGCCCUUACGACCAGGGCUACACACGUGCUACAAUGGCAUAUACAAAGAGAAGCGACCUCGCGAGAGCAAGCGGACCUCAUAAAGUAUGUCGUAGUCCGGAUUGGAGUCUGCAACUCGACUCCAUGAAGUCGGAAUCGCUAGUAAUCGUAGAUCAGAAUGCUACGGUGAAUACGUUCCCGGGCCUUGUACACACCGCCCGUCACACCCAUGGGAGUGGGUUGCAAAAGAAGUAGGUAGCUUAACCUUCGGGAGCGCCGCCUUACCCACUUUGUGAUUCGAUGACUGGGGUGAA
This 991-nucleotide ribosomal RNA is filed under the name Klebsiella variicola. Its description in RNAcentral is "bacterial SSU rRNA". It matches the Rfam family "Bacterial small subunit ribosomal RNA", at positions 508 to 1484 of the family's 1533-position model. The record is from RNAcentral. Lineage: Bacteria; Pseudomonadati; Pseudomonadota; Gammaproteobacteria; Enterobacterales; Enterobacteriaceae.